Long non-coding RNA from Mauremys reevesii (Reeves's turtle), 213 nucleotides. RefSeq lists it as uncharacterized. Lineage: Eukaryota; Metazoa; Chordata; Testudines; Geoemydidae. The record is from RefSeq and is a predicted model, not a curated record. The transcript has 3 exons.
CCUCAACCCCCUAAGCACAUCGGUGGAGGCUGUGAAGACUCUUUUUUCCAUGCCCGGAUACUGGAAGGAAUUUGCCAGCAUCCAAUUUCAGCAGGGUUGGGACAUGAUAGCCUCACGAUAUUACUACUCGCAGGGUGUUGGCGUGAUUGCAAGAGCCAUGAUCGAGUUUGAGAACCCUCAGCUCCCUGCCGUCUUCAGAGAGGCCGUCACCAC